GAUGAACGCUGGCGGCGUGCCUAAUACAUGCAAGUCGAGCGAACAGACGAGGAGCUUGCUCCUCUGACGUUAGCGGCGGACGGGUGAGUAACACGUGGAUAACCUACCUAUAAGACUGGGAUAACUUCGGGAAACCGGAGCUAAUACCGGAUAAUAUAUUGAACCGCAUGGUUCAAUAGUGAAAGACGGUUUUGCUGUCACUUAUAGAUGGAUCCGAGCCGCAUUAGCUAGUUGGUAAGGUAACGGCCUACCAAGGCAACGAUGCGUAGCCGACCUGAGAGGGUGAUCGGCCACACUGGAACUGAGACACGGUCCAGACUCCUACGGGAGGCAGCAGUAGGGAAUCUUCCGCAAUGGGCGAAAGCCUGACGGAGCAACGCCGCGUGAGUGAUGAAGGUCUUCGGAUCGUAAAACUCUGUUAUUAGGGAAGAACAAAUGUGUAAGUAACUAUGCACGUCUUGACGGUACCUAAUCAGAAAGCCACGGCUAACUACGUG
This 497-nucleotide ribosomal RNA is filed under the name uncultured bacterium. RNAcentral describes it as "partial 16S ribosomal RNA". It matches the Rfam family "Bacterial small subunit ribosomal RNA", at positions 28 to 507 of the family's 1533-position model. The record is from RNAcentral.